CUGGCCCACCCGUUCCCCAGACCUGAAUCCAAUUGAGCACAUCUGGGACAUCAUGUCUCGCUCCAUCCACCAAUGUCACGUUGCACCACAGACUGUCCAGGAGUUGACAGAUGCUUUAGUCCAGGUCUGGGAAGAGAUCCCUCAGGAGACCAUCCGCCACCUCAUCAGGAGCAUGCACAGGCGUUGUAGGGAGGUCAUACAGGCACGUGGAGGCCACACACUACUGAGCCUCAUUUUGACUUGUUUUAAGGACAUUACAUCAAAGUUGGAUCAGCCUGUAGUGUGUUUUUCCACUUUAAUUUUGAGUGUGACUCCAAAUCCAGACCUCCAUGG
Non-coding RNA from Pelobates cultripes (western spadefoot toad), 333 nucleotides. The record is from the annotation of a GenBank genome assembly. NCBI's taxonomy places the organism in Eukaryota, Metazoa, Chordata, Amphibia, Anura, Pelobatidae.